UACGGGGGGAGCAAGCGUUGUUCGGAUUUACUGGGCGUAAAGCGCGCGUAGGCGGCUUUGCAAGCCGGAUGUGAAAUCCCCGGGCUUAACCUGGGAACUGCAUUCGGGACUGCAUUGCUAGAGUAUGGGAGAGGGAAGUGGAAUUUCAGGUGUAGCGGUGAAAUGCGUAGAUAUCUGAAGGAACAUCAGUGGCGAAAGCGACUUCCUGGACCAAUACUGACGCUCAUGUGCGAAAGCGUGGGGAGCAAACAGG
This 253-nucleotide ribosomal RNA is filed under the name uncultured bacterium. Its description in RNAcentral is "partial 16S ribosomal RNA". It matches the Rfam family "Bacterial small subunit ribosomal RNA", at positions 524 to 776 of the family's 1533-position model. The record is from RNAcentral.